Molecule: long non-coding RNA, 1567 nt
Filed under: Triticum aestivum (bread wheat)
Lineage: Eukaryota; Viridiplantae; Streptophyta; Magnoliopsida; Poales; Poaceae
Description: long non-coding RNA (TAES_LNC026892)
Source: RNAcentral
AUGACGAUGUUGAUGCCCCUGUGGUCGACUACGUCACCGACGACCCCUCCUUGCCAGAGCAACCAGGCAAGCCCCCACCCUUGAUCACCAGAUAUCGCCUAUUCUUCUCUAUACUGCUUGCAUUAGAGUAGUGUAGCAUGUUACUGCUUUCCGUUAAUCCUAUUCUGAUGCAUAGCCUGACAUCGUUGCUACAGUCAUUGAUACCUUACCCGCAAUCCUAAAUGCUUAGUAUAGGAUGCUAGUUUAUCAUCAUUGGCCCUACAUUCUUGUCAGUCUGCCUUGCUAUACUAUCGGGCCGUGAUCACUUGGGAGGUGAUCACGGGUAUAUACUAUACAUACAUACAUACUAUACAGAUGGUGACUAAAGUCGGGUCCGCUCGAAGAGUACCCGCGAGUGAUUCACGGAUUGGGGGCUGAAAGGACCUUUGUCCCGACGGCCCUCUGUGUGGAUCUUUGUGGCAGAGCGACAGGGCAGGUUGAGACCACCUAGGCGAGAGGUGGGCCUGGCCCUGGUCGGCGUCCGCGGUUGCUUCAUAAUAACACGCUUAACGAGACCUUGGUAUUUGAUCUGAGUCUGGCCAUUUGGUCUAUACGCACUAACCAUCUACGUGGGAGUAGUUAUGGGUAUCCCGGCGUCGUGGUAUCAGCCGAAGCCUUCGUGAUGUCAGCAACUGAGCGGCGCGCGCCGGAUUGGACUGGAACGCCACUAGGCUAGGUCUGCUUCCGGCCGCCCACGCAACGUGCAGGUGUGCUCAGGGCGAUGGGCCCAGACCCCUGCGCGCUUAGGUUUAGACCGGCGUGCUGACCUCUCUGUUGUGCCUAGGUGGGGCUGCGACGUGUUGAUCUUCUGAGGCCGGGCAUGACCCAGGAAAGUGUGUCCGGCCAAAUAGGAUCGAGCGUGUUGGGUUAUGUGGUGCACCCCUGCAGGGAAGUUAAUCUAUUCGAAUAGCCGUGUCCCUCGGUAAAAGGACGACCCGUAGUUGUACCUUGACCUUAUGACAACUAGAACCGGAUACUUAAUAAAAUACACCCAGAUAAGUUCCACAGACAACCCGGUGAUCGCUUUUCCACAGGGUGACGAGGGGAGGAUCGCCGGGUAGGAUUAUGCUAUGCGAUGCUACUGGAGAUGCUACUUGGAGAGACUACUUGGAGAUGCUACUUGGAGGACUUCAAUCUACUCUCUUCUACAUGCUGCAAGACGGAGGCUGCCAGAAGCGUAGUCUUCGACAGGAUUAGCUAUCCCCCUCUUAUUCUGGCAUUCUGCAGUUCAGUCCACUGAUAUGGCCCUUUACACAUAUACCCAUGCAUAUGUAGUGUAGCUCCUUGCUUGCGAGUACUUUGGAUGAGUACUCACGGUUGCUUUCUCCCCCUUUUCCCCCCCUUUCCUUUCUUUCUAGUUGUCGCAACCAGAUGCUGGAGCCCAGGAGCCAGACGCCACCGUCGAUGACGACUACUACACUGGAGGUGCCUACUACUACGUGCAGCCCGCUGACGACGACCAGGAGUAGUUUAGGAGGAUCCCAGGCAGGAGGCCUGCGCCUCUUUCGAUCUGUACCCCCAGUUUGUG